This 250-nucleotide unclassified non-coding RNA is filed under the name plant metagenome. Its description in RNAcentral is "partial contains small subunit ribosomal RNA, internal transcribed spacer 1, and 5.8S ribosomal RNA". The record is from RNAcentral.
GUAGGUGAACCUGCGGAAGGAUCAUUAACACGAUUCAAAAAUUUGUAAAAAUUUCUGUUUUUUUGUAACUCUGAAUUUUUCAUGAAUUCAAUUUUAUUCAAAACUCCUUUUUUUUCAAUUUUUCAAUUUUCAUGAAUUGGAUAAGAUUUAUUUCCAUCUCAUUCUUGAUGAUUUUUCAAACCCACCGUGAACUGUUUCUUCUCCCUAGUUUGUUAUGUGAGGGAUUUUUGUGUGUGAGAUAGAUAUAUCU